CCUCUUAAUUGCUUCAUUACAGAUUCGAAGAAAGCAUCCAAUGUAAGCCAAGAAUAAGCCAAGAAUUCUUCUUAGAAACUUCGGCUGUAAAGCCUGUAUUCAUCCAAGUCGGCGUGCGAAUAUUUGUAGAAAAAGAUGAAGGAGAGUGGGAUUGCAGAAGAAUUGGAAUUGGCAAAGAAGAGAUGCUGGGUCGUCAUAGAUAGAACACCGAGAUUGCCUCUCAUCGACUCAUGCAGGAGCACUCUCCUUAGACUCGCCCAGUCCGAGCUCAAUUUCCUCUCCCGGUGUCCCACUCGCUGUUCCACACGCCUCAGUUCAAAUAUUGGGCACCUCGAAGCAAUCGUUCACAUUCUCCAGCAGCCAUGUCUAACCGGUGUUUCCAGAGUUUGCAAGCCAAUACCUGUAUCAUUUACAGAUUGGAAUGGGUUGAAAACCAAUUCUUGUUCUAAAGGCGUCCAUGUUGAUAUAGUUUGUACUCUCAAUAGGCAACCUGUGUGGAUUAUUGUAUCUGAUAGGAACCCAAGGUACAUUCCUUGGGAUAGAUGUCAAAAGAGUAAGGGCUUGAGAUUGCGAGUUGAAGAAGUCCUUGCUGCAGCUCGGUCUUCAAUGACAUUGAAACCUUACUCGAUCAUUCUUUUCUUCUCGAAUGGUCUUGGAAACUUUGUUAGAGAGAAACUCAGAGAAGAAUUUGGGGCAUCUGAGAUUGAAUUGGAGUUCUCCGUUUUUGAUUUUGACUUCUCUGAGGAUUUGGAUGGUGAGUGGAUAAAUGUGCUUGCAAGAUCGUACCAAGAUGCAUGUGUGCUUGAAAUAAAGGUUGAUGAUAUUGGUGAUAUCAUUUCAAGUCCUGGAUAUGAUUUGAAAGGGGCAAGUGUUGCUGCAGUCACACCAAGGCUUUCAGGAGAGCUAGCGGAGAGAAGUGUGGGUGAUCCUUUUUGUUCACUCAUUUCGAGGAUGAAAUACUGCCCUUUUGAAGUUAAAAAUUUGGAAUAUUCUGAAAUGAAGGAGCUGUUAAGUGAAGUUGAUCUUAUAAAUUUUGAUACAACAGCAUUGAUUGCACUUGUAUCAGGGAUCAGUAAUGGUGGUACUGAGAAACUUUUGGGUACUCCAGAGAGUGCAUUGAGACAGCGGUUUAAGGGAAACUUUGAGUUUGUGAUUGGACAGGUGAUGUCUGAAAUUGAGAAUCCAAUUCAUGUGGAACUGGGUGGUGUAAUAUCUGGAAGGAGAGGCAUAAUAUGUGAAAGUGUUCAUUCAGAGUUCAUGGAUUUAGUACUGAUGUGUGGAGGGCCUGAUGAGAAGUUCAGAGCCAAUCAAUUACUCAAGUGUCUGAUGCUAGUGCCGGAUAGUCCUUCACAACGUGUUAUGGGUCUGCCAACUACAAGAAAGCUGGCAUUGAAGAACAAGGUAGUUUUUGGCACCGGUGAUUACUGGCUUGCUCCAACCUUAACUGCAAAUAUGGCAUUUGUUAGAGCAAUUUCACAGACCGGAAUGUCCCUGUUUACCAUUGAGCAUAGACCACGAGCUUUAACUGGCGAUUAAUCUCAUACAUGUUAAGACAUGCUUCCAUAAAUAUCCAUUGCAGGCACUAAUGUUCAUAGCACUAUGUUGCUGCAAGAUCCCAAUGCUGUUGGAAUAAGAGUUCCGUAUGGCACUAUGGCAUAGUCUCAAACAGGACAGGGUGGUUCAUACUUCAUACUGCCAAAUCCUAUUUACCUGGCAGUGAUGCCAAGCUCAAACGAGCCUUCUGCUCCCUGGGCUUUGUGCCUUUGCAUCAGGCUUAAGCUAAUCGAGACAACUAAGGUUUAGUACACUGAUCUUUGGAAACUUUACUGCUAGGGUUUUACUUAAAACUGGGGUGUGGAAUCAAGCAAAACCAUAACCAGAGGUCCAGAAACUAAUCAAUUGUAGCGAGUAUUUUUCAAACAAGAAUGUGAAAAUUAUGAAUAUAGGAUAUUAUUAAUUUAUUCACUUAUUACAGUUCUAAAUAUGAAUUAUUAGUUUAUUUGCAAUAUAGUAAAAUGAAUUUUGCGGCCAAAUUUGAAUUCUGCAUUGAUAUACAAAGACACAGAGUUCAAUUGAUUAACACAAAAAAGUAUGGACGACUAUCUUAAUAAAGACAACUUUUCAUUUCAUUCAAAAACAAAAAAAAAAUAAGUUUCCAUUUAUGGAAAAUCCGUUUGCUUUUCUACAAUAAGUUACCAAUCAAUUGAAUCUGUAUUUCGAUUGAGUAUGUAUUGAGGGGGCCCCAAAUGUCAAUUUUCUGUUUUACUAAACUUCUACAAGUAAUGUAUUUUAUGAAUCAGUGGGGUCCAAAAAGGAUGUUUUGUUAACCCACUUAGGUAUGUUGAUUGAGAAAAUUGACACUGCCAUUGCUACCUUUUUAUUUUUAUUUUUAUUUUUUUGAGAAAAUGACAAUGUCUGAUUUGAUUUCGACAACCACCUCGGUAUUUUUCUGAUGGAUACCAUACUCAUGUCAUGGAAUACCUUUUCGAUUAGGGUUCCAAUUUCCAGUAAUUUCUUUAUAGUUUUCUUUAAGUCUUUGUUGGAAUGUUUUUAAUAAUAUUUAUUUUUACCGUUGCUUUCCUUCACAUAAAUGGCAGAUUCAAUGCCAUCGAUAUUGAUAUAUUCAAGUUGUUGUUAACGGGCAUGUUACCGUUCUUUUUUAAUGUUGGCUUUGAAGUUUAUUAAGAGGGUUAUUUAAGUUGGUUGCUUUUAUUAUUUUUCCCGUUUGUGUCCAGGACGUUUUGGUUUUUUGUCCAAUAAGUAAUAUAUAUGUUAGUUUAUUUGGUUGUUACUGGACGUACGAGUCUGAGAAAAAAAAUAUAUUUUGGAUAAGUGAGAUAAGGAAAAUAAGCUUAGUGAGUUUAUAUUUUUUAGAGUAUUUCCAAAGGAAAAAAAAAAAAAAAAAGGUGUUCCUUUGGUGGAGUUUUGGGCUCAACCACUUGUGCAGAGUUGGUUCGGGCUGUACGACAAUCAGUUGGGCUGUUGUAUUCUGGAUAAAUCAAGUCAAGAGAAAUUCUGCUAAACCGGUUGAUAUAAGAUUUUGUACACUGCAGAGGGUUUGAAUUUCCUUAAAGAAAGCGAGAUUUUUGUAUCUCAGUUCAAACUGGCUUCGUUUUAAUUUUAAUUUUAUUGUAAUUUUUAUUACAUUAUUAUGUAAUUUCACCAACAAUCUUCAACCAUUAUAUUUAAAUUUAAUUAUUUAAGGUAAUGUAAGAGAGGCUGAGGUGUAAGAUCUGAACCAUUUUUUGGGAGAUUUGAAGAACUUCAAUUUGCAGAUACAUACCCAGAAAAGUCUAUAGAUCUUGAAUGAUAGUUUCUUCUCAAUUACCAGGUCGAUGAAAAUUUUAGAUUGGAAAAUGAAGAUCAAAGGAAACACUCGUAGUAUGUGUCAUAUUGUUAUUAAAUACAACGCAAUUGAAUAGUGAUAUGUAUGACGGAAAAAGAAUCAAGUUUCCCAUCCAAAACGUGGGAGACACAGCAAGUUGUGGAAAGACAAAUAACUCAAAAUCUAUAGUGAUGAAUUCAAAGCUUCAACCUGAACCUACAAUCGCUGGCUUUAAUGCUGAUGGAAUUAUUAGCAGAUAAACUAUCCACGACCAACAAGCAUUCCCCCAAGAUCCUGACCUUUUUGAGCUUCAGCUUCCCAAGUUUGAUUGCCACCGGUGCAUCAACCUUAAGAUCCAAAGGAAUUCUUCCAGUUUGUUGUUGUUCCUGGAUUGCAGUCAUCAAAGUGCUACCAUAUUGCGUUUGGCCAGUUAAGGCCAGAUGCAGUACUGUCUUGUUUUGAUGUCCCUGAUAGAACUUUGGUCGUGAUCUUCACAUCGAAUUCUGCGUAUAGGGACAUGUCAAUGUUGAGCCCUAAACUGCUUAUCUUCAAGCUAUCAACUGAGUAUGACGGAAGCUUUGGUUGGAAGACUAGGUAUAGAAUUCCAGCAGUGGCUCCGACUAUAACUAGUAGGAGAACAAGGAGGCUAAUUGUCCAACAUAUGCAUUUGCAACAACUACUACUCUUUGCUGGCCUUGAAUGGAAUUGGAUCACCGGAACAGAAUGCUUUAACAGAGGGGGACGCCAAACGGGACUACCUUUCUCUGAUAUCGACGAGCCAUGAGGCACCAAGGGAGCUGUUGGUGGGGCUUCCACGCCCACCACUGGAUGGAUUCUUUGGUGCUCUGCCAUUGGUAUGUAUAUAUUUUCUUCUUGAGCUCAACAAAUAUGCACCUCUUCCACAGUGAUAGAACCCACCCUUUUUCUUUCUGCAACUAAAUUUCAUGUCCAACAGAAGCCUUGUAAAGUGUCUGCAAUCUGUACUGUUUUAUAGAUGGAUUAGUUGGUCUUCCAAAGUUGACUUUUUUUGUUUUUC
Molecule: RNA transcript, 4361 nt
Organism: Carya illinoinensis
Lineage: Eukaryota; Viridiplantae; Streptophyta; Magnoliopsida; Fagales; Juglandaceae
Exons: 6
Source: RefSeq, a predicted model, not a curated record